GACGAACGCUGGCGGCGUGCUUAACACAUGCAAGUCGUACGGUAAGGCCCUUUCGGGGGUACACGAGUGGCGAACGGGUGAGUAACACGUGAGUAACCUGCCCACAACUUUGGGAUAACGCUAGGAAACUGGUGCUAAUACUGGAUAUGUGCUCCUGCUGCAUGGUGGGGGUUGGAAAGCUCCGGCGGUUGUGGAUGGACUCGCGGCCUAUCAGCUUGUUGGUGGGGUAGUGGCCUACCAAGGCGGCGACGGGUAGCCGGCCUGAGAGGGUGACCGGCCACAUUGGGACUGAGAUACGGCCCAGACUCCUACGGGAGGCAGCAGUGGGGAAUAUUGCACAAUGGGCGCAAGCCUGAUGCAGCAACGCCGCGUGCGGGAUGACGGCCUUCGGGUUGUAAACCGCUUUCAGCAGGGACGGAGCUUUUUGUGACGGUACCUGCAGAAGAAGCACCGGCUAACUACGUG
RNAcentral lists this ribosomal RNA (465 nucleotides) under uncultured bacterium. RNAcentral's name for it is "partial 16S ribosomal RNA". It matches the Rfam family "Bacterial small subunit ribosomal RNA", at positions 28 to 507 of the family's 1533-position model. The record is from RNAcentral.